Heterocephalus glaber (naked mole-rat) is the source of this 2063-nucleotide long non-coding RNA. RefSeq lists it as uncharacterized. Lineage: Eukaryota; Metazoa; Chordata; Mammalia; Rodentia; Bathyergidae. The record is from RefSeq and is a predicted model, not a curated record.
AAGCCUCUUGGAUCAAAUUAUAUUCAAAAGAAAGCGCACUGAUAUUUCAAACUGACAAAGUUAUCUUGGAAUGUGCAGCACAUAUAUGGUUAUGUGUGGACAAAAUUAUGUGUGGAUGGUUUGAGUUAUCUUUGAGGAACUCUCAUGAAAGAGGACUUCCUGAACCGCUUUAGAGAGUGGAAACAGUGAUGAGAUUCAUCCUGACAGAUUAAUAUGCAGCAAGAGAGACCCGCUGUCAAUGGGCAUUUUGGAUCAUGUGUUUAAAACUGCCUUUGAUGUGUUUGUGGGUCAGGAAUUUGGGAAGGGAUUGUCUGGAAGACAUAGCUGGAACAAUGAAGCACUAGAAUAGCUGGAAGCUGACUGGACAUUUCUCUCUACAGACCUCCAGGAUUUUAAUUUGUUUUCACAUGUGGGCUAUUUUGAGUUUUCUCACAGCAUGGUUGAUUUGAAGCCAUUAGCUUGCAUAUGCAGAGGGUCAGCAUUCAAAGUGUGACUGUCUAGCAGAAAGGCAGAAUCUGAAUUGUCUCUCCUUCCUUAGCCUCAGAAGUCACCCAGCAUCACCUGCACUGUGCUCUAGUUCUUGAGCCAGGCAGAAAAACCCAACAGUUUCAAAGGGAAGGGAUGUAGAUCUCACCUUUCUGUGAAAGGAGUUUCAGUGCAACGAAUGUGGGUGUUGGAAGAUAUUACUGGGACCAUCUAUAGAAGAUAUUGUCUGCCACAGCUAUUAAUAGUACUAGCUCAUUGUGGUUUCUUUGGAUUGUCACCCACUCCAAGGAAAAAUGUAGCAACAGUUAAAAAAAAACAUAGUUCUAAGCAGCUUUCUGUUAUGAAAUAAAAUGAAAAUGAUCUGUCUAAUCAGACUAUUUCCUGGUGCUAAAAAACAGUUAACUCCAUUUAAUUCUGUCACAAAGUCAAAUGUUCUACGGUGCUUGAAAGAUAAUACAUAUGUUGUUAAUAUCAGAUGCCAAAACAUACUUCAUAUUAUGUUAAUGAAACGAAGGAAUCUAAGCUUUUGAAACAGAAGAUCAUCUUUCCUUCUUAAGACAGUACGCCUGGAGAAUGUCCUAGGGCACUGCAUUUAUCAUUACACAUUACAAGGAAGCACAUGAAUUUCCUUCCAUAAUUAAAGAACUCAAACUAUAUCUUUACAGGUACCUGGCAUUUAAGGUUAUUAGCAUUUCAAAAGUUGACUCAAGAAUCUGAAAACAAAUAGACUGUUCAGCAGAAAAGUUUCCAUACAUUUUUAUGUGUCACUAUCUAAUUUUCCUUUUCAAGCUUGGAACAGUAUUAAAAAUCUGAGAUAUAUAAGGAUUUAUUAGUGCCUUCAUAGUCCUUGUUACCAAUAAAUUGUUGAUGGCAUGAACAUCAAAGCUUUGCCCCUCCACCAUCAUUUUUUUCAAUCCAAGACUAUUGGGAAGGAGUUGAGAUGUAAAUAUGAAAAAUAAGUGUUCUUGUGAUGAACGUGCCUCAGAAUCGAGGAGAAGCCAUCGUUCUGUAGGAAAGGAAGUCUGUACUUUAGAAAUUCUUGUUGUUAUGUGCUAUGCCUAAAUCAAAAGAGGGAAGAAGUUGCCAUAUUCUUAGUCCCGGAAAAGAAAAGCUUCUAAAUGUAGAUAUAACAUGUAUGAUAAAAAAGUAAUGCCUCAGUAUCAUCUGUGACAGCACAAUUGUUCCUUCAAAAGUGAAUCCUGUGGGUUGUAAAAUAGCAUAUAUGGUGUGAUUCCAGUCACAUGUAAAUGUAGAAACCUAUGUGUGUGCACAAACGCACAGCAAUUGGGUGGACAAAACCUGGAUGAGUGACACACACCAAACAACUGUGCUUUGCAGGUUCCUCUGGGCAGGGGGUAGAAUUGGAGCCUGGAGGAAAUCCUGAAAGCAAAAGUUUCACUUUUCAUUGUCUCUGUGUGAUUUGACCUUUUAACAUUGAAGAUAUAUUACUUGUGCUUUUAUAAGAAAUGAAAAGAAUGUUAUCUACUUUCCUGCUUUUGUUGGUAUAGAAAUCAGGGUAUAUUGUUACUAGGAAAAGAUGUUUAUUUGGCAUUUAUUUUAUAGAAGAACAUAGCAUU